RNAcentral lists this ribosomal RNA (325 nucleotides) under uncultured Cortinarius. RNAcentral's name for it is "eukaryotic LSU rRNA". The stretch from base 1 to 66 matches the Rfam family "5.8S ribosomal RNA", at positions 89 to 154 of the family's 154-position model. Lineage: Eukaryota; Fungi; Basidiomycota; Agaricomycetes; Agaricales; Cortinariaceae. The record is from RNAcentral.
UCAUCGAAUCUUUGAACGCACCUUGCGCUCCUUGGUAUUCCGAGGAGCAUGCCUGUUUGAGUGUCAUUAAUAUACAUAUAUCAAGCCUUCUCUUGUAGAAGGGUUUGGAUGUGGGGGUUUGCUGGCCUCUUAAUCUUAAGAGUUCAGCUCUCCUGAAAUGCAUUAGCAGAACAACCUUAUGUUCAUUGGUGUGAUAACUAUCUACGCUAUUGAAUGUUGAGGGGGAAAGUUCAGCUUUCUAACGGUCCUUGGACAACUCAUCAUUAAUGUGACCUCAAAUCAGGUAGGACUACCCGCUGAACUUAAGCAUAUCAAUAAGCGGAGG